Molecule: RNase P RNA, 428 nt
Filed under: Aurantiacibacter marinus
Lineage: Bacteria; Pseudomonadati; Pseudomonadota; Alphaproteobacteria; Sphingomonadales; Erythrobacteraceae
Description: Erythrobacter sp. HWDM-33 Bacterial RNase P class A
Rfam family: Bacterial RNase P class A
About the family: Ribonuclease P (RNase P) is a ubiquitous endoribonuclease, found in archaea, bacteria and eukarya as well as chloroplasts and mitochondria. Its best characterised activity is the generation of mature 5'-ends of tRNAs by cleaving the 5'-leader elements of precursor-tRNAs. Cellular RNase Ps are ribonucleoproteins.
Source: Rfam by way of RNAcentral
CCGGGGGGCCGGGCAGCCGCGUUGCCGCAAGGCAUCGAGGAAAGUCCGGGCUCCGCGAAACAAGGGUGGCGGGUAACGCCCGCCGGGCGAAGGUCUACGGGCCGAAGUCUAGGGAUAGUGCCACAGAGAGCAAACCGCCGAUGGAGGGCAACCUCACAGGCAAGGGUGAAAGGGUGCGGUAAGAGCGCACCGGGGGUCUGGCGACAGACCCCGCAUGGUAAACCCCACCCGGAGCAAGACCGCAUAGGGGUCUCGCGCCAACAAUUCUUCGGAUGCGGAGGCAGGAGCGUUUCGCUCCGAGAGGCCCGGGUUGGUUGCAUGAGCGCGUAGGAGCAAUCCUCCGCCGAGAUGAAUGGCUGCCACCGCGGCGCUGAUGUGCAAGCAUAUCGGCCGCGGGACAGAACCCGGCUUACAGGCCCCCCGGCAUC